Molecule: long non-coding RNA, 1058 nt
Organism: Musca domestica (house fly)
Lineage: Eukaryota; Metazoa; Arthropoda; Insecta; Diptera; Muscidae
Exons: 2
Source: RefSeq, a predicted model, not a curated record
UUGCACACGUGUUUAUUUUUCUAGUAGCAGUUUAAGUUCGUAAAUGGGCCAUGUAGGUCCACGUUUUCACAUAGCCCCCAUAUAUAAGUACCUCCCGAUAUUCGGCAUUUGGAAAAUGAUUUUAGCGACAAAUGAUAAGUCGAGGCGACAAUAAUGAUAUUAGGGUUGUCGUUUUUUGUCGAUAGCGACAAAUGGUUGCCAUUAUCAUUGUCGAUACAAUAGUCGACGUGAAGUCGAUUUUUGAGAAUAUCUGUCGCCGUAAAAAAUUGUGACGACAUAGCAUUUUUUAGUCGAUAUUUGAGCAUCAAAAUAACAACAGCAAAACAAUUUGAAAUUUUGGUUUCCGAAUUGGAAAAAAAUCCAUGUUUGGUAAAAGGGUUUACCAAAGGUCAUGUUCCAGCUAAUUUUAAAUCUGAUUGGGCAUCUAUUGCUACAAAAUUAAAUGUAAACGGGCCUCCGAUUAGAGACUCCGAUGGCUGGCAAAAAGUUUGGAAAAAUUUAAAACUAAAAAGAAACUUGUGCACAACAAAGAUGAAACCAGCAGCACUGGAGGUGGCAUUUUUAAGCAAAUGACUUUGUCGCCAUUGGAUGAGUCUGUCGCUAAUAUAAUGCAGUUUCAAAAGUUACUGAACAGACCAGGUGGUGCACUUGGAAUAGAAAAUAAGGAAAACAUAAGGGUAAUAAACGUUAUAGUUCAUGAAAAUGAGCAAGUGGACAAUGUUGAAGACGAGACUGAUGUAACCUACUAUUGAAACUUCUCGAUCGCCCAGAAAGAACAAUGGUAAAAAGUCAUCAAGGAAUGUACAAAUUAUUGAACUCUUGGAAGAGCGUUAUAAACUUUUGGAACAACACAAUCAAGAGCCAGGCAAUGCAAAUAUGUUUGUUGGUUGCCUUAACACUCGCCGCUGCACUACUAAUACACACUUCUUUUCAUCCUCACUUGAACUUAAGAUAUGUAACGCAUUUAUAAUCUUCAUUUUUUUCACUAUAUUUUUUAUUUUUCCGAAAGAGUCGAAAUUAGAAUUCAAAAUACAAAACAAAAUUAUCUUUUUUUUUUU